RNAcentral lists this transfer RNA (78 nucleotides) under candidate division MSBL1 archaeon SCGC-AAA259A05. Its description in RNAcentral is "tRNA-Gly". It matches the Rfam family "tRNA". From Rfam's summary of the family: Transfer RNA (tRNA) molecules are approximately 80 nucleotides in length. Their secondary structure includes four short double-helical elements and three loops (D, anti-codon, and T loops). The record is from RNAcentral. Lineage: Archaea; Methanobacteriati; Methanobacteriota.
GCGGCCGUAGUCCAGCCCGGUCUAAGACGCCGGCCCGCCGCGCCGGCGACAGGGGUUCGAACCCCUUCGGCCGCACCA